This is a long non-coding RNA of Jaculus jaculus (lesser Egyptian jerboa), 714 nucleotides long. RefSeq lists it as uncharacterized. The record is from RefSeq and is a predicted model, not a curated record. NCBI's taxonomy places the organism in Eukaryota, Metazoa, Chordata, Mammalia, Rodentia, Dipodidae. The transcript is spliced from 3 exons.
UUGUGCAUCUGGCUUACGUGGGACCUAGAGAAUCGAACGUGGGUCCUCAGGCUUCUCAGUCAAGCGCCUUAACCGCUCAGCCAUCUCUCCAGUCCCAGAUGUAAUCUGACACUCCCAUUUUUGUCUUUGAGACUAAGAGGCCAGGCCCAAUGGAGGAGGUGAACGCUCUACCUACAGCUCUCUUCCACCUCCUACAACACUCGCUCCUUGGAGGAGACUGCCACCCAGCCUCGCCUGUUCCUCAUGCAGGGGCGCCCCAUCUUCGGAUCUCCCAGGCACUUGCUUUCUUGGAGCGGCCCCCUCACACCAGCUCCUCCAGCCCACAACUGGCACCUCACACCUGCCUUGACCAAGCUUGAGGGUUUGCUUAACCGUCUUCGCCCCAGGGCUCCCCAGCUCAGGAAACGAUACCGCCGCCCAUCUGCUCAAAGCCGGAGUCGUCUUUGAUUUCUCUCCACCUACGCGGUUACCCACAUCAGUGUCGGCUCUGCUUUAUCAGCUCGACUGACUCUCUUGCGCACCCCAGAGAGCCCUCCGGCCUCACACCCUCUUUGGACCAUGUCAAAAUUGUAACUGCAGGGCUGCAGACAUGGUUUAACAGUUAAGGUGCUUGGCUGUGCAGCCUAAGAACCCAGGUUCAAUCCCCCAGAUGCACAAGGGGGCGCAUGUGUCUGGCGUUUGUUUGCAGUGGCUGGAGGCCCUGGUGCACCCAUU